UUUUCAUGAUGAAAUUUUCCACCUAAUUCGCAGUUUCCACUCGAGUCCCAUUCGAGCCUUUUUGGGACAGAUGAGGGUAUAAUUAUACUUCCUUGGAUGUCUGAUUAA
Molecule: small nucleolar RNA, 108 nt
Filed under: Fusarium venenatum
Lineage: Eukaryota; Fungi; Ascomycota; Sordariomycetes; Hypocreales; Nectriaceae
Also listed under: 1 other name
Source: RNAcentral